AACAGAUUCUUAAUGUUCUACUAAACUGGACUGUCAAAUCUUUACAAGAAAUACAAUGCACAGUAAUCUGCAGAGUAGUUUUUAAUGCAUUUGGCUAAAUGAAUAAUCAGAAAUUACUAAUUCAUCAUCAUUAGAAAGCUGUGAUUGAAUGUUUAAUUAAAAAGAGAUGCAUUUAAUAGAGGUCUUGACGUCUGCCACCAGGGUGCAACGGUAUGUUAUGAAACUGCAAGAGUUGGAAUCAGCUGAGGAAUCCAGAAAAAGCAGUUAGCACCAGUAAGUCUGUUUCACUUUGAAAGGAAUUGCUGCGAAAACAGGAAAGAAACAUUUACAGGACAUUCAAUCUUUCUCUCAGUUAAUAACAACUAAUAUAAGGUAAAUAAAAAUGUGUGUUUUGGAUUUUACCAAGUGUUCCAGAAAAAGGCAUUGCAGCUUUAAAUAUUCUCAGUCUUGCAGUAGGUGACUGACCUGACUUGAACUUACAAAAAAAAGUAAAAUAAAAUAAAAUAAAAAAUAAUCAAAGCUGUCAUCUAAAAACUGAAUACCAGGGGAGCAAUCUAAAUGUUCCUGCUCUGCAAUACCUGUAGAUUCCCACAUGUGGAAACUGCUGUCAAACUCCAUAUUCGAACCAUAAGCACCCACAGUCAAAAAGAAAUCAAAAAAAUAUUUUGGUGGAUUCUUGUGCUUGUAUGUAAACUCUUACUCUUAGUUUUCCUUAAAAAAUGGAAAGAAUUUCUUGUGGUUGUUGAGAAAAGGAAAAUGUUACAUAUUCAUUAACAUUGUACCAUGUUUCACUGAGGGAGCCUUCAGUCUGUUUAAAAAAAGAGAGAGAGCAAAUAUACUAUAGCAGUUUGUUGCAGCAUUUCAUUAUCACUGCUCUUAGUUUCAGUGUGUAGAUCUCGCUUUGUGUUUCUGCAUUGGUUAGUAUAUCCAGUAAAAAAAAGGAAGCAUUAACUUAACACUGGAGUGGCAUAUUUUUUUCUGCCUUACCAUUUUGCAUACAUAAGUAAAAAACCGA
Molecule: long non-coding RNA, 1015 nt
Organism: Astatotilapia calliptera (eastern happy)
Lineage: Eukaryota; Metazoa; Chordata; Actinopteri; Cichliformes; Cichlidae
Source: Ensembl